GAUGAACGCUGGCGGCGUGCCUAAUACAUGCAAGUCGAGCGAAAGGAUGAGAAGUUUGCGUCUCUGAUGUUAGCGGCGGACGGGUGAGUAACACGUGGUUAACCUAUCUAUAAGACUGGGAUAACUACGGGAAACCGUAGCUAAUACCGGAUAAUUUUUUGAACUGCAUGGUUCACAAGUGAAAGACGGUCUUGCUUUCUCUUAUAGAUGGAUCCGCGCUUCAUUAGUUAGUUGGCGAGGUAACUGCUUACCAAGGCUACGAUGCAAAGACGACCUGAGAGGGUGAUCGGACAGACUGGAACUGAGACACGGCACAGACUCCUGCGGGAGGCAGCGGUAGCGAAUCUUCCGCGAUGGGCGAGUGCCUGACGUAGCAACGUCGCGUGAGUGAUGAUGCUCUUCGGACCGUAAAGCGCUGUUAUUCGGGGAGUACAUAUGUUUAAGUAACUGUGCACAUCUUGACGGUACCUGAGCAGAAAGCCACGGCUAACUACGUG
This 497-nucleotide ribosomal RNA is filed under the name uncultured bacterium. Its description in RNAcentral is "partial 16S ribosomal RNA". It matches the Rfam family "Bacterial small subunit ribosomal RNA", at positions 28 to 507 of the family's 1533-position model. The record is from RNAcentral.